AAAAUAUUUUGCUAUUCCUUCUAAAUGUUAUAUAUUCCAUAUAUUCUUUUAUAUGCCCCUCUGCUGUUCAAUAUAUUCCUUUGACCUGCUUAUGAUUGGAUUAAGAUGCUUAAGGAUGGUUGGAACUAUCCUUAAGCAGGGUAUAUGCAGAAUGGUAUGGCUUAGGUUCUUAUUAGAUUUCUAUAAAGUAAAAAAAAAUUAUUGUGAGAGACAUGCAUCCUGCAACCUAAGCCUCUGUAUAAGACAGAUAGAUCUUAAUCGUAAUAAGGAGAGUGUCAACAUGGCCCCCUCCGAUUUGAUUGAUUUUUACAUGUAUUGUAGUGCUAUCCUCCCACAGGCCCAUGGUAG
Molecule: long non-coding RNA, 348 nt
Filed under: Androctonus crassicauda
Lineage: Eukaryota; Metazoa; Arthropoda; Arachnida; Scorpiones; Buthidae
Source: RNAcentral